This 178-nucleotide ribosomal RNA is filed under the name Acrapex brunneolimbata. Its description in RNAcentral is "partial 12S small subunit ribosomal RNA". The record is from RNAcentral. Lineage: Eukaryota; Metazoa; Arthropoda; Insecta; Lepidoptera; Noctuidae.
UUAAUAUUUAAAAAUUAAAAUAUAAAUUUAAAUCAGAUCAAGAUGCAGAUUAUAAUUAAGAAUAUAAUGGAUUACAAUAAAUUUAUUUAAAUGAAUAUUAAUUUGGAAAAAUUAAUUAAAGGUGGAUUUAAAUGUAAUUUUAUUUAAUUUAUUAAAAUGAUUAAAAAUUAAAAUAUGU